GCGCGAAAACUUUACAAUGCUGGCAACAGCGAUAAGGGAACCUCGAGUGCCAGGUUACAAAUCUGGCUGUCGAGAUGCCUAAAAAGCAUUUCAUAGCAAGGGCCGGGCAAGACCGGUGCCAGCCGCCGCGGUAACACCGGCGGCUCGAGUGGUAACCGUUAUUAUUGGGUCUACAGGGUCUGUAGCCGGCCGGAUAAGUCUCUUGAGAAAUCUUGCAGCUUAACUGUCAGGCUUUCAGGAGAUACUGUCUGGCUCGAGGCCGGGAGAGGUGAGAGGUACUUCAGGGGUAGGGGUGAAAUCUUGUAAUCCUUGAAGGACCACCAGUGGCGAAGGCGUCUCACCAGAACGGACCUGACGGCAAGGGACGAAAGCUAGGGGCACGAACC
RNAcentral lists this ribosomal RNA (386 nucleotides) under uncultured prokaryote. Its description in RNAcentral is "bacterial SSU rRNA". It matches the Rfam family "Archaeal small subunit ribosomal RNA", at positions 339 to 725 of the family's 1478-position model. The record is from RNAcentral.